Molecule: ribosomal RNA, 843 nt
Filed under: Bacillus tequilensis
Lineage: Bacteria; Bacillati; Bacillota; Bacilli; Caryophanales; Bacillaceae
Description: bacterial SSU rRNA
Rfam family: Bacterial small subunit ribosomal RNA
Source: RNAcentral
AACGCUGGCGGCGUGCCUAAUACAUGCAAGUCGAGCGGACAGAUGGGAGCUUGCUCCCUGAUGUUAGCGGCGGACGGGUGAGUAACACGUGGGUAACCUGCCUGUAAGACUGGGAUAACUCCGGGAAACCGGGGCUAAUACCGGAUGGUUGUUUGAACCGCAUGGUUCAAACAUAAAAGGUGGCUUCGGCUACCACUUACAGAUGGACCCGCGGCGCAUUAGCUAGUUGGUGAGGUAACGGCUCACCAAGGCAACGAUGCGUAGCCGACCUGAGAGGGUGAUCGGCCACACUGGGACUGAGACACGGCCCAGACUCCUACGGGAGGCAGCAGUAGGGAAUCUUCCGCAAUGGACGAAAGUCUGACGGAGCAACGCCGCGUGAGUGAUGAAGGUUUUCGGAUCGUAAAGCUCUGUUGUUAGGGAAGAACAAGUACCGUUCGAAUAGGGCGGUACCUUGACGGUACCUAACCAGAAAGCCACGGCUAACUACGUGCCAGCAGCCGCGGUAAUACGUAGGUGGCAAGCGUUGUCCGGAAUUAUUGGGCGUAAAGGGCUCGCAGGCGGUUUCUUAAGUCUGAUGUGAAAGCCCCCGGCUCAACCGGGGAGGGUCAUUGGAAACUGGGGAACUUGAGUGCAGAAGAGGAGAGUGGAAUUCCACGUGUAGCGGUGAAAUGCGUAGAGAUGUGGAGGAACACCAGUGGCGAAGGCGACUCUCUGGUCUGUAACUGACGCUGAGGAGCGAAAGCGUGGGGAGCGAACAGGAUUAGAUACCCUGGUAGUCCACGCCGUAAACGAUGAGUGCUAAGUGUUAGGGGGUUUCCGCCCCUUAGUGCUGCAGCUAAC